Molecule: long non-coding RNA, 361 nt
Organism: Entelurus aequoreus (snake pipefish)
Lineage: Eukaryota; Metazoa; Chordata; Actinopteri; Syngnathiformes; Syngnathidae
Exons: 2
Source: RefSeq, a predicted model, not a curated record
AGUCCUUUAACUCCUUUAAUGAUGUGCUGGCAUUGGUGGGGAGGGUGAUGGUGGGGGGAGCAUGGCUUUGAUGAGCUGAAGGCCGUUCAUGAUCCCAAAAAGUCCUUCUUGUGCCGCGAGUCACUCGCUGGCCAAAGCCCCACAACAGGAGCUGCUAUUACAGUUAGCAUUAAUGCCCGCUCAAAGGUGCGUUUGUUCCACACGGAGGCGACCUCCCCAGGAGACCAGUGAUUGGCCGUGUGUCCCUCGCUGCGGCUUAGGAUAGGCUCCGCCCCCUCUGACCUUGGCGGUUCCAUACGAGCAGUUGAAGAUGGUUGUUCAAUACUUGGAUUGUGCUGCAAUAAAGUCUGCUUUAAUGUGA